RNAcentral lists this ribosomal RNA (735 nucleotides) under uncultured bacterium. RNAcentral describes it as "bacterial SSU rRNA". It matches the Rfam family "Bacterial small subunit ribosomal RNA", at positions 49 to 804 of the family's 1533-position model. The record is from RNAcentral.
UAACACAUGCAAGUCGAACGGCACCUAUCUUCGGAUAGAAGCGAGUGGCGAACGGCUGAGUAACACGUGGAGAACCUGCCCCCUCCCCCGGGAUAGCCGUCCGAAAGGACGGGUAAUACCGGAUACCCCCGGGCGCCGCAUGGCGCCCGGGCUAAAGCCCCGACGGGAGGGGAUGGCUCCGCGGCCCAUCAGGUAGACGGCGGAGUGACGGCCCACCGUGCCGACAACGGGUAGCCGGGUUGAGAGACCGACCGGCCAGAUUGGGACUGAGACACGGCCCAGACUCCUACGGGAGGCAGCAGUGGGGAAUCUUGCGCAAUGGGGGGAACCCUGACGCAGCGACGCCGCGUGCGGGACGGAGGCCUUCGGGUCGUAAACCGCUUUCAGCAGGGAAGAGUCAAGACUGUACCUGCAGAAGAAGCCCCGGCUAACUACGUGCCAGCAGCCGCGGUAAUACGUAGGGGGCGAGCGUUAUCCGGAUUCAUUGGGCGUAAAGCGCGCGUAGGCGGCCCGGCAGGCCGGGGGUCGAAGCGGGGGGCUCAACCCCCCGAAGCCCCCGGAACCUCCGCGGCUUGGGUCCGGUAGGGGAGGGUGGAACACCCGGUGUAGCGGUGGAAUGCGCAGAUAUCGGGUGGAACACCGGUGGCGAAGGCGGCCCUCUGGGCCGAGACCGACGCUGAGGCGCGAAAGCUGGGGGAGCGAACAGGAUUAGAUACCCUGGUAGUCCCAGCCGUA